Molecule: ribosomal RNA, 585 nt
Filed under: uncultured marine eukaryote
Lineage: Eukaryota
Description: bacterial SSU rRNA
Rfam family: Eukaryotic small subunit ribosomal RNA
Source: RNAcentral
UUGUUGCAGUUAAAAAGCUCGUAGUCGGAUUUCAGUAUGUGAUUGACGCCUCCUCAGGAGGUUGUGAAUCAGUACUUCUUUGGCAGGAACUUUCAUGCCUUUAAUUAGGUGUGUUUGGGGACUGCCUCUUUUACUUUGAGAAAAUUAGAGUGUUCAAAGCGGGUAAUCGCCAGAAUAUUACUCUUGGAAUAAUACUAUAGGACUCCGGUUCUUUUUUGUUGGUGAUUUAGGACCGGAGUAAUGAUUGAUAGGGACAGUUGGGGUCAUUCGUACUGCAAAGCGAGUGGUGAAAUACUUGGACCUUUGUAUGACGAACUACUGCGAAAGCAUUUGACUAGGAUGUUCCCGUUGAUCAAGAACGAAAGUUGGGGGAUCGAAGACGAUCAGAUACCGUCGUAGUCUCAACCAUAAACUAUGCCAGCUAGGGAUUGGAGGGAGUUUCAUGUUGACCCCUUCAGCACCUUAUGAGAAAUCAAAGCAUUUGGGUUCCGGGGGGAGUAUGGUCGCAAGGCUGAAACUUAAAGGAAUUGACGGGAGGGCACCACCAGGAGUGGAGCCUGCGGCUUAAUUUGAUUCAACACGGGA